Molecule: long non-coding RNA, 3249 nt
Organism: Anguilla rostrata (American eel)
Lineage: Eukaryota; Metazoa; Chordata; Actinopteri; Anguilliformes; Anguillidae
Exons: 2
Source: RefSeq, a predicted model, not a curated record
ACGUAGCAUACCCCCUGUAGCACAUGUGUCAAACUCAAGGCCCGCGGGCCAGAUGUGGCCCGCCACGGCAUUUUAUGUGGCCCGCGAGUGCUUAAUUGGUCUUAAAAUCUGUCUUAAAAUAGGUCUAUGCUGCUUUUAAGCGUGCAUUAACCAUAAACUACAUUUCCCACAAUGCAUGGUGAUUGUUACCCGCGAAGUGACGGCAUCUCGCCACUAGAUCGCAGGUGUAUCCAGUGUUUAAUUAAUGCUACAAGUGAAAUUGAGAAUAUCCACAAAUGAUCCCGAUAUGUCCAGGAAGAGAAAGAUUGAUGCAGAUGGAAGGCAGUUUCAAGAAAGAUGGGAAGGCGAAUACAUGUUUGUGCUUCAAGGAGAAAAACCGGUAUGUCUUUUGUGUUAUGAGGCGGUGUCGGUCGUCAAAGAGUACAAUCUACGUCGCCACUUUGACACCAAACAUGAAGCCAAGUAUGCCAAAGUUAGCCUUCAAGAAAAACAACAAAUUGAGGGCAAACUAAAAGGCAAACUGCGAUCGCAGCAGAAUGUGUUCACCAAAGCCACAACCAAAAACGAUGCAGCAGUGAAAGCUAGCUUUAUGGUGGCUGAAGAAAUCGCCCGCGCUUCAGUCUUUUUCAGAGGGUGCGUUUUUGAAGCAGUGCAUGCUGAAGGUGUGUGAGCAGGUGUGCCCCGACCAGAUACAGACUUUUAAAAAUGUCAGUUUGUCAAGAAACACCAUCGCGGACCGAGUCAAGGAGCUAGCAGCAAACCUGUCAACACAGCUGGCCGAAGAGUCACGCAGUUACACAGCUUUUUCAUUAGCUGUUGAUGAACGCACAGACAACACGGAUACGGCACAGCUAAGCUAAUAGAACAUGAUCAAUGGAUGAGGAUGGUGGAGGGGAUCCACUUGGUGUGUUCAAGGACAGGCAGCAUAUCCUCAUCAUUUUCAACUCAUAGUUGUGAACUGAGACAACCCUAUUUUAUUAUUUUGAGUUUAUUACAUAUACUGCUUUUUGUGUAGUAAUGUAUUUGUUGUUUACAGGUUUAUGCACACAAAUGUUUACUCCUGCAAGGCUGUGUGCAGCCAUUUGUUUUUGUAAAAUGCUACAUCUGUCACACAUGGUCUUAGCAGCUCACUAUAGUUGGUUGUACGUUAUUCUGACCCUCUCGACUGUGACAAUUUUUUUGAAGGAAGUUAAUGUGUUUUAAUAUUUUUCUUUGAAUAGUUUGAUCAUUGAUAAAUAGAGUAAUGUGGGUUUCUUAACCUGACAAAUUAAAAGGAUUUAUGUUAUAGUAACAGCAACAAGCAACACUUUUUUUUUUUUACAUCUAUGCAAAUGCAUAUGUAAUAUUUGUAACUAAGUAAUAAAUACAGAAAGUUAUUUAACAAUAUAUUACGGAGUAGUUACAUUUAUUUUACAUUAUAUUUGGUGACAUUUAGUUACAUUUAUACUGUACAGUUACAUCUGGCCCUUUGAGGGCAACCAUUAUGCUGAUGUGGCCCUCGGUAAAAAUGAGUUUGACACCCCUGCCCUGUAGCAUUCGCAUGGGUAGUUCAACGUGUGUCACUUAACCUCUAUCCGUUGAUGUUUACAUUGUUUUAUUAAAAUAAGGACGGCAAGGCAUGAGCUGAAUUCACUGUUUUCAUUUUUUUUAAAUUACAUACAGUGCAAAAGUCUUAGGCACCCUAGAUUUUUAAAUAUAAUAUAUAGUAUAUAUUUGGUCUUAGAUGUUUAUUUUUUGUUUUCUGCAUUAGUGUGUCAGUAGAAAAGAGCAAAUUUGAGAUUUCCUAACAUGAAUUUUCCCAAAAAUUAAAUUUUACAGAUACAUUUUUGUAUUUUGUUAAAGUAAUAUUUUAAGUAAUAGACUACUUUUCAAAUAAAAACUUGAUCAAGGGUCUCUAGAAUUACCUGGAGAGCCAGAUGCAAGCGAAACAGCCAAAAUCUGCAGAAGAACUGUGGCAAGUUCUCCACAAUGCUUGGAACAAUCUACCAGCCGAUUUUCUUAUAAAAGUGCAGGACGGUGUUCCUUAAGAGAAAUGAUGAAGUUUUAAAGGCGAAGGGUGGUCACACCAAACAUUAAUUUUAUUUAGUUUUUGUUCUUUAUAUUAUUUUUUCGAUAUUUAUAUCCUUUUAUUUCAUUAUUUUUGAAAGCAUCUUAUCAUUUUUUUCAGGUGCCUAAGACUUUUGCACAGCACUGUAGCUGUGAAAUACUAUGCUGUGAAUUUGUGAAUUUGAAGUCCAUUUUCUUCCAGUGUUGAACUGCGGUUCCCAUAGUGAGCUCUAAAAGCCAUAUUUAAAAAAAAAAAAAAAUUGCUCCACAAUUUUAGAUUUCCGAUGGUUAAAGUGCAGAUUCUGAGCUUUUAUUACAGGGUAUUUAAAUACCUUUUGGUUUCACCCUGUAGAAACAACAUAGUAACCCCCCCUCCCCCAUUUCAGGGCACCAUAAUGUUUGGGACAAAUGGCUUCACAGGUGUUUCUGAUUGGGCAGGUGUGUUCAGUUGCUUCUUUAGUGUACGUACAAGAGAGCUUUCAGUAUCUAGUCUUAAUUCUAGGCUUUCCAUUUCCUUUGGAGUCUUAUUGGCAGUUGUCAGCAUAAGGACCAGAGUUGUGCCAAUGAAAGACAGGGAAGUUAUUAUUAGGCUGAGAAAUAUGGAAAAAAACAGAGACAUAGUCCAGACCUCCGGCUUACCAAAAUCUACAGUUUGAAACAUCAUCAAGAAGAUAGAGAGCACUGGUGAGCUCAGUAAUUGCAAACGGCCUGGUAGGUUAAGGAAGAACUAUACAGUUUAUGACUGAAGAUUUCUCUCCAUAAUUGAGAAGCACAUGUCUGACAGAUCAAAAACACUCUUGAAAAAAGGAUAGCCAAGUGACAGUUUGGUACUUCAGAGACUAACCAAAAACACCUGUGAAGCCAUUUGUCUCAAAAAAUUAUGCCACCCUGAAAUUUAGGGGGGCGGGGCAUGUAUAAAAAGUACUGUAAUUUCUGCAUGGUGGAACCAAAAUGCAUAAAUAUACCCUUUAAUAAAAACUGAGAAUCUGCACUUUAACUACAUGUGAAUGUGGUUAACGUGCAGAUAUUUCUUUAUCAAACAGUGUGGAGCUCACUGUAUAAUAUGAUCUGCCUUCCUAGUUAUUAACCAAGGCCUGUCUGUUCACAAAUGACAGUCAUUGUACCUCUCGGAGAGUGACAUCGCGUUCUGUCGAUGACAUUGGCGUUCACAUGAACUUGCAUCUCGGAACUCUGCUACACUCU